RNAcentral lists this transfer RNA (1041 nucleotides) under Rhizobium sp. RNAcentral's name for it is "partial contains 16S-23S ribosomal RNA intergenic spacer and 23S ribosomal RNA". The stretch from base 208 to 281 matches the Rfam family "tRNA". Lineage: Bacteria; Pseudomonadati; Pseudomonadota; Alphaproteobacteria; Hyphomicrobiales; Rhizobiaceae. The record is from RNAcentral.
CGAUCGGUUUAGCCGAUAUGACCUUUCCCGUGCUUUUUAGAACAAGAUCGGACCAGUCAGGUCACGAUCGCAACGAAAUACGUCACGGAAGCGUAAUGCUCCGAUGAUAUGGCGAGCCUCGCCGUCCACGUUUCUCUUUCUUCAAGAAGACAAAGAACCGCGUCGAUCCGGAUGGUUUAUGGCUGUCUGGACCGGUUUGACGAGAAUGGGCCCGUAGCUCAGUUGGUUAGAGCACACGCUUGAUAAGCGUGGGGUCGGAAGUUCAAGUCUUCCCGGGCCCACCAUGCUUUGCCGUUUGGCUACGCGUGGCGCAGCCGGGAAAGAACGGUGACGCGGAAGUUGCCGAACCCUGGUUUAAGAUCGGGGCGAUCGAGCUGAUGGGGCUGUAGCUCAGCUGGGAGAGCACCUGCUUUGCAAGCAGGGGGUCAGCGGUUCGAUCCCGCUCAGCUCCACCAAAUCGAUUGGUGUCGAGACUGACGGCGAUGUCUUCUGAAGAAAUAAAGGUUUUGCAUCGGCCUUGGGGCUUGAUGCGUGUUCUGCAUACAUUGUGAAGAGAAGAUUGAUCUGGAGGCUUCCAGGUGUUUUGGGCAACCGUAGGGUUGUUCGAGGCGUCCGAGCCCGGUCUUUAUGAAACCAUGGAUGGCCUAGCCGGCCGGAUGUGGUGGAGAGAUCGGAGGUAGGAAGGAAGCUUGUCGCUCUGAGCCGUUGUUGUUGGUCCUCUUCGAGGGCUUCUGACGGACGGCUGGAUUACCGUUGCCUGACCGCGCGGUAUCGGAUCAAAUCUCGAGAAGCUGGUCUUAAAGAUAGACUGCAAGCGAGCUGCUCGGCGUAGCUCCAAUAAAGCAGGUCUAUCGAACACGUCGAUGGCAUUAUUGAUAGGCUGGGUUGUAAAAGGUAACCCGGUCUGUUGCUCGUUUCCUGACGGAAACGGCAACGAGAUGAUGAGCAUUGGCAAUGAGAACGAUCAAGUGUCGUAAGGGCAUUUAGUGGAUGCCUAGGCAUGCACAGGCGAUGAAGGACGUGAUACGCUGCGAAAAGCCG